Molecule: long non-coding RNA, 513 nt
Filed under: Rattus norvegicus (Norway rat)
Lineage: Eukaryota; Metazoa; Chordata; Mammalia; Rodentia; Muridae
Description: long non-coding RNA NONRATT022813
Source: RNAcentral
ACAUGGAACAAAUAAUUGAAUGUACUGUGAACUACUUUUAAUUUUUUGCAUUCCUGUGUGUGUGUGUGUGUGUGUGUGUGUGUGUGUGUGUGUGUGUGUGUGUGUGUGUGUGUAUGUACACUCUCAGACUUGCAAAGGAUGAGUUUGCUGUUGACCCACAUGUGCUAUGCAGCUCUCCUGCUACUGUGGCAUAAUGACAGUGUGGCUGGCUUCUCACCACACAUCCAGUCUAGGCAGCCAGUUGUCUUCCUCCAUCAGGUCUUCAGCUGCAGUGUUGGGCAUCCUGUCUCCGUCGCUGACCCAUGCGAGCAGACCAACACCACCACCACCACCCCUGUGUGAGCAGACCCCUCUGGGUUGCUGCUUGUUGCCAGAAUCAGAGAAUCCAACUUAGGAGGCACAGAGAGGGCUUGAGGCCAUGUGGCAAGCGUAUGACCAGGAUGCCAGCGGCACGUGGGGCUCAGGCAUCCUAGUUGACCCCUCCUUCCCCCCUGGAGUUCAAGGGUCAGUGUG